GACGAACGCUGGCGGCGUGCCUAAUACAUGCAAGUAGAACGCUGAAGGAGGAGCUUGCUUCUCUGGAUGAGUUGCGAACGGGUGAGUAACGCGUAGGUAACCUGCCUGGUAGCGGGGGAUAACUAUUGGAAACGAUAGCUAAUACCGCAUAAUAGUAGAUGUUGCAUGACAUUUGCCUAAAAGGUGCAAUUGCAUCACUACCAGAUGGACCUGCGUUGUAUUAGCUAGUUGGUGGGGUAACGGCUCACCAAGGCGACGAUACAUAGCCGACCUGAGAGGGUGAUCGGCCACACUGGGACUGAGACACGGCCCAGACUCCUACGGGAGGCAGCAGUAGGGAAUCCUCGGCAAUGGACGGAAGUCUGACCGAGCAACGCCGCGUGAGUGAAGAAGGUUUUCGGAUCGUAAAGCUCUGUUGUAAGAGAAGAACGAGUGUGAGAGUGGAAAGUUCACACUGUGACGGUAUCUUACCAGAAAGGGACGGCUAACUACGUG
This 495-nucleotide ribosomal RNA is filed under the name uncultured bacterium. Its description in RNAcentral is "partial 16S ribosomal RNA". It matches the Rfam family "Bacterial small subunit ribosomal RNA", at positions 28 to 507 of the family's 1533-position model. The record is from RNAcentral.